RNAcentral lists this unclassified non-coding RNA (230 nucleotides) under fungal sp. Its description in RNAcentral is "partial internal transcribed spacer region". The stretch from base 1 to 54 matches the Rfam family "Eukaryotic small subunit ribosomal RNA", at positions 1778 to 1831 of the family's 1831-position model. Lineage: Eukaryota; Fungi. The record is from RNAcentral.
GGAAGUACAAGUCGUAACAAGGUAUCCGUAGGUGAACCUGCGGAUGGAUCAUUAACAAAGAUUUUAAAAAGUCUUGUGAACUGUAUAUUAGAACGUUGUCUAGACUAGGCGACCUUGCGUAGUCUAGCCUAGGCAACACCCAAACGUAUAUAAACUUAACCUGACGUCUACCUUUAGCGUAGUAAAUACUAAACUAAAGACAACUUUUAGCAACGGAUCUCUUGGCUCUC